RNAcentral lists this ribosomal RNA (369 nucleotides) under uncultured organism. Its description in RNAcentral is "partial 16S ribosomal RNA". It matches the Rfam family "Bacterial small subunit ribosomal RNA", at positions 527 to 896 of the family's 1533-position model. The record is from RNAcentral.
GUAGGGUGCGAGCGUUAAUCGGAAUUACUGGGCGUAAAGCGUGCGCAGGCGGUUGUGCAAGACAGAUGUGAAAUCCCCGGGCUCAACCUGGGAAUUGCAUUUGUGACUGUACGGCUAGAGUGUGUCAGAGGGGGGUAGAAUUCCACGUGUAGCAGUGAAACGCGUAGAGAUGUGGAGGAAUACCGAUGGCGAAGGCAGCCCCCUGGGAUAACACUGACGCUCAUGCACGAAAGCGUGGGGAGCAAACAGGAUUAGAUACCCUGGUAGUCCACGCCCCUAAACGAUGUCAACUAGUUGUCGGGUCUUAAUUGACUUGGUAACGCAGCUAACGCGUGAAGUUGACCGCCUGGGAGUACGGUCGCAAGAUUA